This is a long non-coding RNA of Brassica oleracea var. oleracea, 2486 nucleotides long. RefSeq lists it as uncharacterized. NCBI's taxonomy places the organism in Eukaryota, Viridiplantae, Streptophyta, Magnoliopsida, Brassicales, Brassicaceae. The transcript has 4 exons. The record is from RefSeq and is a predicted model, not a curated record.
AUGUUCGCCGUAAGAGUGUAUCUUUGAGAAGAACAAUGACUUAAGAAAGCCAUCGUGAUUGUCGUUGUUUGGUUCUGUGAAUCAUUGAAUUGUUUGGUUCUGUGAAUCAUUGAAUUAUUUGGUUCUGUGAAUCACUCAUAAUCUUGUUGUUUUUUGUGUUUACAGUGACAUCGAUGGUGUUUUAAAGAUGCACAUUGGUUAUGGCGGUUCAGUGUCAUACAAAAGAGAGAAGUUCUCAUACUCGGUGGAAUUUAUGUUAGAGAUUUGGUCGUCGACCCGGAUCUUAUUACAUAGUCAAUUUUUGAGGAUUUUAUAGUAGACAGAGGAAUCAAGGGUAAGGUGGAGCAGGUUUGGUAUAAAGUAGCCAACGAAGAUAUAUCUACAGCUAGGUCGAUAUACAAAAACAAAGAUGCUAAGAUUAAGAAGUUGUGUGAAGAAACAAAAGGUGUUGGUGAAGCUGAUUUGUAUAUUGUCUAUGGUCAGAAUGCUGACGAAAAUAAGAGUGAUGAUGAAGAGAAGAGUGAUGAUGAAAUUAGAGAAGAAGUUAGUGAUGAAGAAGAAACGAAUGAGACUUAGAUUAGAGAAGAGCAGGAAAAAGCUGUAAAUGGUCAACAAUCUGAGGAUGAAGAACAUAUUUUGGGUCAAGGAGUUGAUCAAGAUGUUCGAUUCCAAAAUAUGUUUUCACAGGCUGCACAGACCGAGUGUACACAACCAAACCUUGUUCAUGAUGAAGAAAGUGAAAGCAAUAGUGAAGAUGAGGAGAUGAAUAUACAGAUUCUUCGGUUGAUAUAGCUGAGGAUGGGCAAAUUUUCACAAAGAAGAUGGAGAAAUAAGAAGAAGAAAAAAGCAACCUCACAAAGAAGCGGUGCAGAUUAUGAUAAGCCUCUAUAUUUGUGACUAAUUCAAACAUUUAAUAAUGGUGAUGAGUUCAGAGAUCAGCUGCUAAGAUAUGUCUUGAAGACUAGUUUGACGUCAAGCUUGAUAGAUAGGAGUCAACAAAACAAGCAGCUAUGUGCACCCAUGAGAAUUGUAAGUGAAGGAUAUAUUGUUCUGUUGAGAAACUAAUUUUUAAGUGGCUGGUUAAGGUAUAUGAAAGCAUCCAUUGGCAUUUGCCAACAGGAAAACUUCAGAUAAUGAAACAAGGGUAUGGAAAUUGCUCUAGCAACAGUUCUCCCAAACGAAGAGCAUAGGAACUGUGCUAAGAAUGUGUAUGCUAAUUGGAAGAAGACUUACGUCGAUGAAGACAAUAGACCUUUCUUCUGGAGGGUGGCUUACAAUCGAACAAUUUCAGAGUUUGAAUCAAUGAUGGAUGAGUUGUGUGUAUUUGAUAGAGAAUUACAUGAUGACUUAAAGACAUCUGAUCCUAGCACUUGGUGUCGUGCUUUCUUCUCCACUGUAGCACAAUCUGAUAACGUCUGCAACAACUUAUAUGAGAGCUUAAACAUGACAAUUAAAAAAUUCAGAGAGUUGCCUCUGAUUCAUAUGUUGGAAACAAUUAGGAGGCAAGCUAUGAUGUGCGUUUCUUGAAGGUGUGUGAAGGAAAACCAAUGUCUACUGGAUUUCUCCAAAAAAUUAGUUGUUACUUUGGAAGCAGACCGAGAAACAAGCAAUCGUUGUACCAUAUAAAUUAGUAGCAAUAAUUUGUAUGAAGUAAGAUUAUAUGGUUUUAGCUUCGAGGUGAGUCUUUGAAUAAAAACUUGUAUUUGUCGGAAGUGGGACCUCACAGGCAUCCCAUAUUGGCAUGCAGUUCGGGUCAUCAAUGACAUCAAAUAAGAUCCAGCUAAUUAUGUGAUUAUUACUACAAGAUUCAGGUUUGGAUAGAGACUUACAGGAACAACAUAAAACCAGUUAAUGGAGAAUUUUUUGGAGGAAGGCUGGUAAAGACCCCAUUGGAGUUACAAGUUUCAGGAAAAUGCCCGGACGUCCUAAGAGAAAGAGGAUUAAGGCAACACAUGAGUUACCUUCAAGACCUAACCGAUUGACUCUGAUGGCAGAACAAUAACAUGUGGUAAUUGCCAACAGGUUGGACAUAACCGAAACACUUGUAAGAAUGCCGCUCAUGUGGUUCAAAGUCCAAAACAUAAACAUGGAAGACCGUUUAAAAUAUUUGAUGAAGAAGAAACAAAUCCAAAAAGACCAAAGAGACAGAAGAAAACAUAGUUCCAAUCUUCCAUCAACACACCUGAUGUUAUAUCUUCAUGUCCCGAGGCAUCUACAAGACCAUCUUCGUCGAUUUCCACUGAUGAAACAACAAGACCACCUGCAACUGAUGCAUCAAGAAGACCACCUGCAACUGGUCGUGUCCGUGGACGUGGACAUGGGCGACCUCUUGGAAAAGGACAAGCACGCAGAGAGGUCAUUCCUAGGGGACAUGAAGUCUAUAUAAAUCCAAUUACUAACAAAUUAUUUGAAGUUUAUGGAGAUAGUUCAUGAUUAUAAGCUCUUCUUCUAAAAAAUUAGUCUUUUGUUUUACAACUCGAGUUAUU